This 253-nucleotide ribosomal RNA is filed under the name uncultured bacterium. RNAcentral describes it as "partial 16S ribosomal RNA". It matches the Rfam family "Bacterial small subunit ribosomal RNA", at positions 524 to 776 of the family's 1533-position model. The record is from RNAcentral.
UACGGAGGAUUCGAGCGUUAUCCGGAUUUAUUGGGUUUAAAGGGAGCGUAGGCGGGUUGUUAAGUCAGUUGUGAAAGUUUGCGGCUCAACCGUAAAAUUGCAGUUGAUACUGGCAUCCUUGAGUACAGUAGAGGUAGGCGGAAUUCGUGGUGUAGCGGUGAAAUGCUUAGAUAUCACGAAGAACUCCGAUUGCGAAGGCAGCCUGCUGGACUGUGACUGACGCUGAUGCUCGAAAGUGUGGGUAUCAAACAGG